CCUACGGGGUGCAGCAGUGAGGAAUAUUGGUCAAUGGACGAGAGUCUGAACCAGCCAAGUAGCGUGAAGGAUGACUGCCCUAUGGGUUGUAAACUUCUUUUAUAUGGGAAUAAAACGUUCCACGUGUGGGAUUUUGUAUGUACCAUAUGAAUAAGGAUCGGCUAACUCCGUGCCAGCAGCCGCGGUAAUACGGAGGAUCCGAGCGUUAUCCGGAUUUAUUGGGUUUAAAGGGAGCGUAGGUGGAUUGUUAAGUCAGUUGUGAAAGUUUGCGGCUCAACCGUAAAAUUGCAGUUGAAACUGGCAGUCUUGAGUACAGUAGAGGUGGGCGGAAUUCGUGGUGUAGCGGUGAAAUGCUUAGAUAUCACGAAGAACUCCGAUUGCGAAGGCAGUUCACUGGACUGCAACUGACACUGAGGCUCGAAAGUGUGGGUAUCAAACAGGAUUAGAUACCCCUGUAGUU
Molecule: ribosomal RNA, 460 nt
Filed under: uncultured bacterium
Lineage: Bacteria
Description: partial 16S ribosomal RNA
Rfam family: Bacterial small subunit ribosomal RNA
Source: RNAcentral